Molecule: ribosomal RNA, 367 nt
Filed under: uncultured soil bacterium
Lineage: Bacteria
Description: bacterial SSU rRNA
Rfam family: Bacterial small subunit ribosomal RNA
Source: RNAcentral
AGAUUGAACGCUGGCGGCAUGCCUUACACAUGCAAGUCGAACGGCAGCACGGGAGCAAUCCUGGUGGCGAGUGGCGAACGGGUGAGUAAUACAUCGGAACGUGCCCAAUCGUGGGGGAUAACGCAGCGAAAGCUGUGCUAAUACCGCAUAAGAUCUACGGAUGAAAGCAGGGGAUCGCAAGACCUUGCGCGAAUGGAGCGGCCGAUGGCAGAUUAGGUAGUUGGUGAGGUAAAGGCUCACCAAGCCUUCGAUCUGUAGCUGGUCUGAGAGGACGACCAGCCACACUAGGACUGAGACACGGCCCAGACUCCUACGGGAGCAGCAGUGGGAAUUUGGACAGUGGGCGAAAGCCUGAUCCAGCCAUGCC